This is a long non-coding RNA of Pan paniscus (pygmy chimpanzee), 401 nucleotides long. Lineage: Eukaryota; Metazoa; Chordata; Mammalia; Primates; Hominidae. The record is from Ensembl.
GGGAUUCCUCUCUUCCAGCCACUGAAACCACAGCUGAGACGCUGGCUGGGACAACUCAGCUGCAACCAAAACCAUCCCAGUAGGAGGCUGAAGGAUGAAGAAAACGGUGCAGAGAGGUCCUGGUGUCCCCAGACUGGCUGAUAGCAGACAGCCUUCCUUUGCUACCUUGGGCACCUGGAUAAGGCACAGACACUCGCCUUCAGCUCUGCAAGGCACAUUGCCAGCUGCCUGCUGGUUGCCCAAAUGGAAUUUCACUUCAUAUUCCUGAGCAUCUAUUUUGGCAUGAGACUCCCCCUCAGCAGAUUCCUGAAUAGCAGCUGCUCUUGAUGAUUGCAAGGGGCCCCGCGGCCUGGUGGGACCAAGGCUUCUGCCGUCUGCUCUCCUCCAAACCUGCCUGUGCU